AGAGUUUGAUCCUGGCUCAGAACGAACGCUGGCGGCGUGGAUUAGGCAUGCAAGUCGAACGAGGAUAUAUCCUUCGGGAUAUAAGCCGAGUGGCUGAAGGGUGAGUAAUGCAUAGAUCACCUGCCUUUAGGAUAAGGACAACUUUGUGAAAACGGAGCUAAUACUUAAUAAUACAAAAGAAAGUUUCUUUCUUUUGUCAAAUAAAGGGUAUUUAUACCUUUUGCCUAGAGAGGGGUUUAUGUCCUAUCAGCUUGUUGGUGGGGUAACGGCCUACCAAGGCAAAGACGGGUAGCCGGCUUUAGAGGGUGGUCGGCCACACUGGGACUGAGACACUGCCCAGACUUCUACGGAAGGCUGCAGUCGAGAAUCUUUCGCAAUGCCCGAAAGGGUGACGAAGCGACGCCGCGUGGGUGAAGAAGGCCUUCGGGUUGUAAAACUCUGUCAGGAGUUAAGAAAUAUAAGUUCGAAAAUAUCGUUCUUAUUUGACAAAGGCUCCAAAGGAAGCCACGGCUAACUCUGUGCCAGCAGCCGCGGUAAUACAGAGGUGGCAAGCGUUGUUCGGAAUUACUGGGCGUAAAGAGCACGUAGGUGGAUUUGUAAGUCAGAUGUGAAAGCCUUCUGUUCAACGGAAGAAUUGCAUCUGAAACUGCAAACCUUGAGUAUAGGAGGGGAGAAUGGAACUUCUGGUGGAGCGGUGAAAUGCGUAGAUAUCAGAAGGAACACCGGCGGCGAAAGCGAUUCUCUAGCCUAUAACUGACACUGAGUGUGCGAAAGCUAGGGGAGCAAACGGGAUUAGAUACCCCGGUAGUCCUAGCCGUAAACGAUGGGCACUAAGUAGAGGGAAUUACCGAUGUUCUCUCUGCCGUAGCUAACGCAUUAAGUGCCCCGCCUGGGGAGUACGGCCGCAAGGCUAAAACUCAAAAGAAUUGACGGGGGCUCGCACAAGCGGUGGAGCAUGUGGCUUAAUUCGAUGCAACGCGAAAAACCUUACCGGGGUUUGACAUGAUAGAAGUAGAAACCCGAAAGGGGGACGAACGGUAUCCAGUCCGUAGCUAUUACAGGUGUUGCAUGGCCGUCGUCAGCUCGUGUCGUGAGACGUUGGGUUAAGUCCCCUAACGAGCGAAACCCUUGUUUUUAGUUACCAGUGGGUAAUGCCGGGUACUCUAGAAAGACUGCCGUCGUCAAGACGGAGGAAGGUGGGGACGACGUCAAGUCAUCAUGGCCCUUAUACCCCGGGCUGCACACGUGCUACAAUGGUCGGUACAAAAGGAAGCGAAGCCGAGAGGUGAAGCGAAUCCUAAAAAGCCGAUCUCAGUUCGGAUUGGAGGCUGAAAUUCGCCUCCAUGAAGUUGGAAUCGCUAGUAAUCGCGGAUCAGCAAUGUCGCGGUGAAUAUGUUCCCGAGCCUUGUACACACCGCCCGUCAAGCCACCCAAGCAGGAUGCACCCGAAAACAUUAUAUCUAACCAGGGCAACUUGGAGGAAAAUGUUGAAGGAGUGUUUUGUGAGGAGGACUAAGUCGUAACAAGGUAA
RNAcentral lists this ribosomal RNA (1531 nucleotides) under uncultured Planctomycetota bacterium. Its description in RNAcentral is "bacterial SSU rRNA". It matches the Rfam family "Bacterial small subunit ribosomal RNA". The record is from RNAcentral. Lineage: Bacteria; Pseudomonadati; Planctomycetota.